GGGAGAUUAGCUCAGUUGGUUAGAGCACUGCAUUUACACUGCAGGUGUCGGGGGUUCGAAUCCCUCAUCGCCCA
Molecule: transfer RNA, 74 nt
Filed under: bacterium
Lineage: Bacteria
Description: tRNA-Val
Rfam family: tRNA
About the family: Transfer RNA (tRNA) molecules are approximately 80 nucleotides in length. Their secondary structure includes four short double-helical elements and three loops (D, anti-codon, and T loops). Further hydrogen bonds mediate the characteristic L-shaped molecular structure. tRNAs have two regions of fundamental functional importance: the anti-codon, which is responsible for specific mRNA codon recognition, and the 3' end, to which the tRNAs corresponding amino acid is attached (by aminoacyl-tRNA synthetases). tRNAs cope with the degeneracy of the genetic code in two manners: having more than one tRNA (with a specific anti-codon) for a particular amino acid; and 'wobble' base-pairing, i.e. permitting non-standard base-pairing at the 3rd anti-codon position.
Source: RNAcentral